Molecule: microRNA precursor, 68 nt
Organism: Nannospalax galili (Upper Galilee mountains blind mole rat)
Lineage: Eukaryota; Metazoa; Chordata; Mammalia; Rodentia; Spalacidae
Source: Ensembl
AUCAGGUGUAACAGCAACUCCAUGUGGACUGUGUACCAACUUCCAGUGGAGAUGCUGUUACUUUUGAU